Molecule: ribosomal RNA, 253 nt
Filed under: uncultured bacterium
Lineage: Bacteria
Description: partial 16S ribosomal RNA
Rfam family: Bacterial small subunit ribosomal RNA
Source: RNAcentral
UACGGGGGGAGCAAGCGUUGUUCGGAUUUACUGGGCGUAAAGCGCACGUAGGCGGCUUGGCAAGUCGGAUGUGAAAGCCCUCGGCUCAACCAAGGAAGUGCAUCCGAAACUGCUGAGCUUGAGUACUUAAGAGGAUCGCGGAAUUCCCGGUGUAGAGGUGAAAUUCGUAGAUAUCGGGAGGAACACCAGUGGCGAAGGCGGCGAUCUGGGAAGAUACUGACGCUGAGGUGCGAAAGCGUGGGGAGCAAACAGG